UGCUUAAAUCCAGCUACCUUGCUCCCUGACC
Molecule: non-coding RNA, 31 nt
Filed under: Homo sapiens (human)
Lineage: Eukaryota; Metazoa; Chordata; Mammalia; Primates; Hominidae
Source: RNAcentral